UUGGUGGGGUGAUGGCCUACCAAGGCGACGACGGGUAGCCGGCCUGAGAGGGCGACCGGCCACACUGGGACUGAGACACGGCCCAGACUUCUACGGAAGGCAGCAGUGGGGAAUAUUGCGCAAUGGGCGGAAGCCUGACGCAGCGACGCCGCGUGAGGGAUGACGGCCUUCGGGUUGUAAACCUCUUUCAGCCCUGACGAAGCGAAAGUGACGGUAGGGGCAGAAGAAGCACCGGCCAACUACGUGCCAGCAGCCGCGGUAAUACGUAGGGUGCAAGCGUUGUCCGGAAUUAUUGGGCGUAAAGAGCUCGUAGGUGGCCUGUCGCGUCGGCUGUGAAAACUCGGGGCUCAACUCCGAGCUUGCAGUCGAUACGGGCAGGCUAGAGUGCGGCAGGGGAGACUGGAAUUCCUGGUGUAGCGGUGAAAUGCGCAGAUAUCAGGAGGAACACCGGUGGCGAAGGCGGGUCUCUGGGCCGAUACUGACACUGAGGAGCGAAAGCGUGGGGAGCGAACAGGAUUAGAUACCCUGGUAGUCCACGCCGUAAACGGUGGGUACUAGGUGUGGGUUUCCUUCCUUGGGAUCCGUGCCGUAGCUAACGCAUUAAGUACCCCGCCUGGGGAGUACGG
RNAcentral lists this ribosomal RNA (626 nucleotides) under uncultured bacterium. RNAcentral describes it as "bacterial SSU rRNA". It matches the Rfam family "Bacterial small subunit ribosomal RNA", at positions 249 to 885 of the family's 1533-position model. The record is from RNAcentral.